This 253-nucleotide ribosomal RNA is filed under the name uncultured bacterium. RNAcentral describes it as "partial 16S ribosomal RNA". It matches the Rfam family "Bacterial small subunit ribosomal RNA", at positions 524 to 776 of the family's 1533-position model. The record is from RNAcentral.
UACGAAGGGGGCUAGCGUUGUUCGGAAUUACUGGGCGCAAAACGCACGUAGGCGGAUAUUUAAGUCAGGGGUGAAAUCCCAGAGCUCAACUCUGGAACUGCCUUUGAUACUGGGUAUCUUGAGUAUGGAAGAGGUGAGUGGAAUUCCGAGUGUAGAGGUGAAAUUCGUAGAUAUUCGGAGGAACACCAGUGGCGAAGGCGGCUCACUGGUCCAUUACUGACGCUGAGGUGCGAAAGCGUGGGGAGCAAACAGG